ACUACGGGUGGCAGCAGUGGGGAAUAUUGCACAAUGGGGGAAACCCUGAUGCAGCGACACCGCGUGAGUGAAGAAGUCAUUCGUUAUGUAAAUCUCUAUCAGCAGGGAAGAAAAUGACGGUACCUGAGUAAGAAGCCCCGGCUAACUACGUGCCAGCCGCCGCGGUAAUACGUGGGGUUCAAGCGUUAUCCGGAUUUACUGGUGGUAAAGGGAGCGUAGACGGCAGUGUAAGUCUGGAGUGAAAGGCGGGGGCUCAACCCCCGGACUGCUCUGGAAACUGUACGGCUGGAGUGCAGGAGAGGUAAGGGGAAUUCCUAGUGUAGCGGUGAAAUGCGUAGAUAUUAGGAGGAACACCAGUGGCGAAGGCGGCUUACUGGACUGUAACUGACGUUGAGGCUCGAAAGCGUGGGGAGCAAACAGGAUUAGAUACCCUGGUAGUC
This 440-nucleotide ribosomal RNA is filed under the name uncultured bacterium. Its description in RNAcentral is "partial 16S ribosomal RNA". It matches the Rfam family "Bacterial small subunit ribosomal RNA", at positions 338 to 795 of the family's 1533-position model. The record is from RNAcentral.